CCUGGAACAAAUGCUCGCACUCAGCAGUUGAUCCCCAAAAAGGAUGCUGAUAAUAUUUUUCCAAACCAGAUACUUUUUUGGCAAGAUUCCGGUGCUGCACGUUUACACCGUUUGUCCAAAAGUGGAAUGGGGCUGUUACAACAGUGAGGUCUUUGAACAGCCAGUGGUUCUGGCUCUUGACCAUGCUGUGACAUGGGAAACUCAAGAGCAAGAAAACCAGAAAAGCCUGAUUUCCUCAGAUUUUUGGACUGCUGAGAAACCCAGCUGUUGGAAGUCCUGGAAGAACCUUUGUGUGAUCAUCUGUUUUGGAACCUGGAGCCGGGUUAUUGUGGGAUAAUUCAUGCAACAACAUAGACUCAUCACAAGGGCCCUGUCAUUUAAACGCUCCAAUUACUUUUUUUCUGCAAUAGCUUCUGCUCUUCUCCACAUCCCACAGUGCAUUCCAGGGCUACUAUGUUAAUUGGAAGUAUAUUCCUAUGCGUGAAGUGGACUUUAAUUAGUACCUAAGGGGCACAUUCUGGUAUCCUGACUCAUGUGGCACAGGGGCGUACCUCAGAGUUGCUUCAUGGCAGCCUGUGGGACUGCUCAUGAAGAAAGGUGCUUCCUGGUCCAGGCAAAGGCUGGCUCGGGAACUCCAAGACACCCAGGUGGGACAAGAGGCUCCACUGACUCUCCAGCAUGCAAUGCCAUGGCCUGGGGCCCUGUAAAACAAUAGGUACACUAACUCUUCCAAUUAUUUUGCUUGACUAAUGAGUAAUAUGAGAGGCUCCAGAUUUUAAGUCUGUGAGCAAUGGAGGAACUCUGUAAAAAUCGGGAUCACAGGCAGUCUUGUAAUAAAUUAAUAACUUCGGCUAUUACAUGAGUCAUCUGUAAAAUGGGCCCUGAGUUAUGAAGACAUGCACCAACUGUGGGGGGUAUUGUGGAAAAUUAAA
Phalacrocorax carbo (great cormorant) is the source of this 932-nucleotide non-coding RNA. The record is from RefSeq and is a predicted model, not a curated record. NCBI's taxonomy places the organism in Eukaryota, Metazoa, Chordata, Aves, Suliformes, Phalacrocoracidae.